RNAcentral lists this ribosomal RNA (272 nucleotides) under uncultured Nostoc sp. Its description in RNAcentral is "partial 16S ribosomal RNA". It matches the Rfam family "Bacterial small subunit ribosomal RNA", at positions 455 to 725 of the family's 1533-position model. The record is from RNAcentral. Lineage: Bacteria; Bacillati; Cyanobacteriota; Cyanophyceae; Nostocales; Nostocaceae.
GUUGUGAAAGCAACCUGACGGUACUUGAGGAAUAAGCAUCGGCUAACUCCGUGCCAGCAGCCGCGGUAAUACGGAGGAUGCAAGCGUUAUCCGGAAUGAUUGGGCGUAAAGGGUCCGCAGGUGGCAAUGUAAGUCUGCUGUCAAAGAAUGAGGCUCAACCUCAUCAAGGCAGUGGAAACUACAUAGCUAGAGUACGGUCGGGGUAGAAGGAAUUCCUGGUGUAGCGGUGAAAUGCGUAGAGAUCAGGAAGAACACCGGUGUCGACGCGGCCG